CCUACGGGGGGCAGCAGUCGGGAAUAUUGCGCAAUGGAGGAAACUCUGACGCAGUGACGCCGCGUAUAGGAAGAAGGUUUUCGGAUUGUAAACUAUUGUCGUUAGGGAAGAUAAAAGACUGUACCUAAGGAGGAAGCCCCGGCUAACUAUAUGCCAGCAGCCGCGGUAAUACGUAGGUGGCAAGCGUUAUCCGGAUUUACUGGGUGUAAAGGGCGUGUAGGCGGGAAAGCAAGUCAGAUGUGAAAAUCACGGGCUCAACCUGUGGCCUGCAUUUGAAACUGUUUUUCUUGAGUGCUGGAGAGGCA
This 305-nucleotide ribosomal RNA is filed under the name uncultured bacterium. RNAcentral's name for it is "bacterial SSU rRNA". It matches the Rfam family "Bacterial small subunit ribosomal RNA", at positions 338 to 659 of the family's 1533-position model. The record is from RNAcentral.